Molecule: ribosomal RNA, 380 nt
Filed under: uncultured bacterium
Lineage: Bacteria
Description: bacterial SSU rRNA
Rfam family: Bacterial small subunit ribosomal RNA
Source: RNAcentral
CGGUAAUACGUAGGUCCCGAGCGUUGUCCGGAAUUACUGGGUGUAAAGGGUGCGCAGGCGGUCUUGUGCGUCAGAAGUGAAAUAUCACGGCUUAACCGUGAGGGUGCUUUUGAAACGGCGAGACUUGAGUACGGGAGAGGAUGAUGGAAUUCCUGGUGUAGCAGUGAAAUGCGUAGAUAUCAGGAGGAACACCGGUGGCGAAGGCGGUCAUCUGGCCCGGUACUGACGCUCAGGCACGAAAGUGUGGGUAGCAAACAGGAUUAGAUACCCUGGUAGUCCACACCAUAAACGAUGUAUGCUUGGUGUUGGGGCAGCAAUGCUUCAGUGCCGUAGGGAACCUAUUAAGCAUACCACCUGGGGAGUACGAUCGCAAGGUUGAA